GAUGGGAUUUAUGACAGGUCAUGGGACCGCAAUAUGACCGUAUUCAGUCAUGGCUGCACUUUAUGACCCCAUGAGGUCAUAAAGGUGGUCAUGUACCUGCUCAUAAAUAUGCGGAACAUGACCAGGUCAUAUUGCGCAUGGUAUUCCAUGAUGCAACAAUGCAGGCCAUGACCACCCUGGCCCAUGUUUUGCACUCAUUCCAUGAGUCGUACACUGCACUCCAUGACUACCCGGGCCCAUGUUUUGCACACAUUCCAUGAGUCGUACACUGCAUUCCAUGACCACCCUGGCCCAUGUUUUGCUUGGUUUACAUGACUCGUACACUGCAUUCCAUGACCACAUUGGCACAUGUUUUACAUUGUUUACAUGACUCAUACACUGCACUCCAUGACCACCCCUGGCCCAUGUUUUGCACACAUCUCAGAAGUUGUUCAGUGUGGGCUUAUAAGUCAUGACCAGCAACCCAUCAAUAUGUGGGCUCCAGACUCCAAGUCUGCUAUCACAAAUAAAUGUAUGUACUCCAACACUCCACACCGUUAAGGUGACAAACCUCAAUGUUUCAGUGGAUCACUCAGGUAAAUCACCCACCAGUAGCAUCCUAUAGAGUAAGCCGGAUUACCUGCAGCUCAACUACAUUCCUGAACCACAACUGCCUUCCAUUAUCAAUAUCAUAACUAUGAACUUCACUCCUUGCAGGUCUCAAUCCGUAAACCUCCAGGGACUUAAGUGUGUGCAUUAGUAGUAAUGCCUGACCUCAUACAUUUCUCUAUAUGCCACCGAGCCAUCUAUUACAGGCCACAAAGAUUGUCAACUCCAGCAUCCUGCUGCAUCCCUGCUAACCN
This 842-nucleotide long non-coding RNA is filed under the name Volvox carteri. Its description in RNAcentral is "long non-coding RNA (VCAR_LNC003972)". Lineage: Eukaryota; Viridiplantae; Chlorophyta; Chlorophyceae; Chlamydomonadales; Volvocaceae. The record is from RNAcentral.